GUGAAUCAUCGAAUCUUUGAACGCACCUUGCGCUCCUUGGUAUUCCGAGGAGCAUGCCUGUUUGAGUGUCAUGUUAUUCUCAAUCCCGUCUGCUUUGCGGCCGUCGGGUUUGGAUGGUGGAGGCUUGCUGGCCCCUCGCGGUCGGCUCCUCUUGAAUGCAUUAGCGGGGCUUAUGCUCGAUGCAACGGUGUAAUAAUGUCUUUUCACCGGAGUAACUUGCAAUUGAAAGUCCGCUUCUAAUCGUCUCGCAUGAGACAUUGUAAAGGGAUGGAUUUCUCUUUGACACCUUUGACCUCAAAUCAGGUAGGACUACCCGCUGAACUUAA
This 326-nucleotide ribosomal RNA is filed under the name uncultured fungus. Its description in RNAcentral is "eukaryotic LSU rRNA". The stretch from base 1 to 71 matches the Rfam family "5.8S ribosomal RNA", at positions 84 to 154 of the family's 154-position model. The record is from RNAcentral. Lineage: Eukaryota; Fungi.